Molecule: ribosomal RNA, 425 nt
Filed under: uncultured bacterium
Lineage: Bacteria
Description: partial 16S ribosomal RNA
Rfam family: Bacterial small subunit ribosomal RNA
Source: RNAcentral
GUGGGGAAUCUUAGACAAUGGGGGAAACCCUGAUCUAGCCAUGCCGCGUGAGCGAUGAAGGCCUUAGGGUUGUAAAGCUCUUUCAGCUGGGAAGAUAAUGACGGUACCAGCAGAAGAAGCCCCGGCUAACUCCGUGCCAGCAGCCGCGGUAAUACGGAGGGGGCUAGCGUUGUUCGGAAUUACUGGGCGUAAAGCGCACGUAGGCGGAUUGGAAAGUUGGGGGUGAAAUCCCGGGGCUCAACCCCGGAACUGCCUUCAAAACUCCCAGUCUUGAGUUCGAGAGAGGUGAGUGGAAUUCCGAGUGUAGAGGUGAAAUUCGUAGAUAUUCGGAGGAACACCAGUGGCGAAGGCGGCUCACUGGCUCGAUACUGACGCUGAGGUGCGAAAGCGUGGGGAGCAAACAGGAUUAGAUACCCCAGUAGUCC